This 866-nucleotide ribosomal RNA is filed under the name uncultured archaeon. RNAcentral's name for it is "bacterial SSU rRNA". It matches the Rfam family "Archaeal small subunit ribosomal RNA", at positions 5 to 879 of the family's 1478-position model. The record is from RNAcentral.
CGGUUGAUCCUGCCGGAGGCUAUUGCUAUCAGGGUUUGACUAAGCCAUGCGAGUCGAGAGGUGAAAGACCUCGGCAUACUGCUCAGUAACACGUGGAUAAUCUGCCCUCAGGUGAGGAAUAAUCCCGGGAAACUGGGGCUAAUGCCUCAUAGGAGACGGGUGCUGGAAUGCUCUGUCUCCGAAAGGUCCGCCGCCUGAGGAUGAGUCUGCGUCCGAUUAGGUUGUUGUUGGGGUAACGGCCCAACAAGCCUUUGAUCGGUACGGGUUGUGGGAGCAAGAGCCCGGAGAUGGAUUCUGAGACAUGAAUCCAGGCCCUACGGGGCGCAGCAGGCGCGAAAACUUUACAAUGCGAGCAAUCGUGAUAAGGAAACCCUGAGUGCCUGUCAAUGCAGGCUGUUCUGGUGUCUAACACACACCAGGAGAAAGGGCGGGGCAAGACCGGUGCCAGCCGCCGCGGUAAUACCGGCUGCUCGAGUGAUAGCCACUUUUACUGGGCUUAAAGCGUUCGUAGCUUGGUCGUUAAGUCUCUGGGGAAAUCUUUUGGCUCAACCAAAAGGCGUCUCAGGGAAACUGACGAUCUUGGAACCGGGAGAGGUAAGACGUACUUCGGGGGUAGGAGUGAAAUCUUGUAAUCCCCGAGGGACGACCGAUGGCGAAGGCAUCUUACCAGAACGGCUUCGACAGUGAGGGACGAAAGCUGGGGGAGCAAACCGGAUUAGAUACCCGGGUAGUCCCAGCCGUAAACGAUGUGCGUUAGGUGUGUCAGUGACCACGAGUCGCUGAGGUGCCGAAGGGAAACCGUGGAACGCACCGCCUGGGAAGUACGGUCGCAAGGCUGAAACUUAAAGGAAUUGGCGGGGGAGCAC